GGUCUGUCCCAUUAGUUCUUCAGUGUUAAAAAUUCGAAAAAAAUUCGAUAGAAAUUCCUACGAGUUUGUCAAAAAAAGAUUACACCCAGGAUGAAUAUCUACAUAUCUGUACCUCUCACAUGGAAAUUAAAGCACGUUAUCCGUCCAGUACUUUUCACAAAACAUUGGACUUCUUCGCACACUUUGUCUGCCUACAGGUCAAGCGUUGAUUUGAUUAAAGUCGUUUAAAUUCGCAUUGCUCGAGGAUCUCCUUAGAUUAACGAAUUGCUGAGAUGGUUAGACACAUGGAUCAACGGAAAUAAGACAAGUUCCCGUAAUCGAUUAUUCAAGAAACAUCUAUUCUGGAGGACACCCUGGAAGUUAAGACAUAAAUUAUCUACCCAUCUAAAACAGUAUUAAAAUUGAAAUUUAAUUUCCGACUAUGUUCUAUCAUGUUUAAAAUUAAUGUAACUCGGCUUUCUUGUCAUAGCUGAAUAUUAUUUAAAUAGUGCAAUAAUUCAGUUAAAGUAGCGACACGAUAUUAAGUAGGAGAAUUCAUAUUUAUAACAUGCAAGAUAGUAUAUUGAAUUUAGUAAAUUUAGGUAUGUCUGCAAUAUGCAUGCAUUUACUCUACAGUUAUUGUAUUACUGUUUGAGUACUUGCAGGGAAGACAAAAAAACAUAUUUUAACGUAAUUUUAACGUUUUGUAGUUAGGAUUAUUUUUCGGCGACAUCUUCGCCACACACUUUGUACAUAUGUAACCAACUUUGAAAUGCUCUCAAAAAAUCGAACAAGCAUGCAAAAAUCAAUCCUUUCAUUUUUUUUUAAUGGAAAGUUGUAUUUCUGCAUUUAAGCAAAAGAUUUGAUCUUCACAGCUUCUCUUGGCUCUAAAUCCACCCCAUGCCUCUGCGAGAACUUGCUUAAGCUCAGCCAAAUUUGGUACUCUCUCUGUUAGAAUGCUUGUAAAUAAUUUUAAACGUGAAUUUAAUAAUGCCCCAUAAUUUAUUGGUAGGCUUGGAUCCUCUUUCUUAUGUAUAUAGAGUUACUGUUAUGGAUUUUGUCCAAUUCCAUAUCAGACAUUUUUUCCUCCAGACAAAUUUGAUUAAAUACACCCGGUAAUGCGGCAUCCAGUUGGCAGGGCUUUAAGGAACUUAUUGUUGAUUGCAUCAGUUAUUAUUUUUGAUUCUGCGAAGUGCUAUUUCACCUUCGGUUUGUGUAACAGGCUUAUCAUGUAGACGAACUCCAGAAUUACCUGUACAGACUGAUUUCACCACCCUUGUAUCUCGAUAGAAACACCCCAUUCUGCUUCGGGUACCGUUUGGUUUAACCUUCUAGCUCGAAAACUUAAGUACUUUUAUAUGAA
Long non-coding RNA from Folsomia candida, 1342 nucleotides. RefSeq lists it as uncharacterized. The transcript has 3 exons. NCBI's taxonomy places the organism in Eukaryota, Metazoa, Arthropoda, Collembola, Entomobryomorpha, Isotomidae. The record is from RefSeq and is a predicted model, not a curated record.